UCUUCCCCUUUCCGAUUUAUGGCAAUUGCAUGCGCUGAUCACCUCACUCCACAAAGGCUACGAGACUUGAAGCAAUCAGAUUUCUACACAGCAAAAAAGAGAAACAUUUUCUAUACGACAUUGUUGCCAAUGGUCGCACUGGGUUAGAUAAAUUUGACAUUGUUGAUGGAUCAAGGAGAAAUAUGAAAGCCUGUACAAGGGCAUUGGCAAAAAAGAUGAUAUAUCUGUCUUUUGUGCUCUAUAUGAAAGCGAUGAUGAUGGAUCCCGGAGUGUGUUCGCAAGAUAAGCGUCAUACAAAAGUGAAGAUCGGCGGGCAUGUUUGUGUUGUAUUUUCCCAAGACUACACAAGAUUUCGCAGUUGUCUACUAAAAGUUUGUGACCUUUUACUUCAAGCAUUAAUAAGUAUUUUAUUUCUUUUCUAAUUUUCAGGAGGAUAUAAGAAGUGGAAAAGGUAGUGCACUUCAACUGAAUGAUCUGCUGCGUGGGCUUAGUCCAUCUGACUAUGUUCUUCAUGCAAUUUCCAAUGUUCAGACAAAUGAUCUGGAGCGGACCCUACUGGUAUGUAACUAAGUAGAUCUUUUUACUGAAUGUCAUGGUUUGAUUUUAUCAAUUAGUAAGCAUAAUGUUAUCUCACUAC
RNA transcript from Asparagus officinalis (garden asparagus), 637 nucleotides. RefSeq lists it as uncharacterized. The transcript is spliced from 3 exons. NCBI's taxonomy places the organism in Eukaryota, Viridiplantae, Streptophyta, Magnoliopsida, Asparagales, Asparagaceae. The record is from RefSeq and is a predicted model, not a curated record.